GCAUCUCCGUGGGUUUAAAGGAAGCGAUUCCGGCUACGGAUGGUCAUGCGUCGCAUUAGCUAGUUGGCGGGGUAACGGCCCACCAAGGCGACGAUGCGUAGGGGUUCUGAGAGGAAGGUCCCCCACACUGGUACUGAGACACGGACCAGACUCCUACGGGAGGCAGCAGUGAGGAAUAUUGGUCAAUGGCCGCAGGGCUGAACCAGCCAAGUCGCGUGAGGGAUGACGGUCCUAUGGAUUGUAAACCUCUUUUGUCAGGGAGCAAAGGGCGCCACGUGUGGCGCUUUGCGAGUACCUGAAGAAAAAGCAUCGGCUAACUCCGUGCCAGCAGCCGCGGUAAUACGGAGGAUGCGAGCGUUAUCCGGAUCUAUUGGGUUUAAAGGGUGCGCAGGCGGAAUGUCAAGUCAGCGGUAAAAUUUCGGGGCUCAACCCCGUCGUGCCGUUGAAACUGGCGUUCUUGAGUGAGCGAGAAGUAUGCGGAAUGCGUGGUGUAGCGGUGAAAUGCAUAGAUAUCACGCAGAACUCCGAUUGCGAAGGCAGCAUACCGGCGCUCAACUGACGCUCAUGCACGAAAGCGUGGGUAUCGAACAGGAUUAGAUACCCUGGUAGUCCAC
This 614-nucleotide ribosomal RNA is filed under the name uncultured bacterium. RNAcentral's name for it is "bacterial SSU rRNA". It matches the Rfam family "Bacterial small subunit ribosomal RNA", at positions 187 to 798 of the family's 1533-position model. The record is from RNAcentral.